AUGGUAGUGAAAAUGGUGCAAUACAGCAAUAGUGAAUCUGAUAUAACCGUGGAUGCUGGGGAAGCACAUGAUAUAGACAUAGAAAUUACAAGCGAUAAUCUGGAAGGUACUAAUACUCUUCCCAGUGGUCAAAGCACUGAACAAGGUGAAAUGCAUGACAGCAGGACAGAACUUCUUUCAGAUUUUAAACUGGAGACUAGUCCCCUUAAGGCACAGUUUCCUACUUGCAAUGUUUUCUCUAGAAAGGAGAUGGCCAAAUUUCUUUAG
This 267-nucleotide ribosomal RNA is filed under the name Triticum aestivum (bread wheat). Its description in RNAcentral is "partial small subunit ribosomal RNA". Lineage: Eukaryota; Viridiplantae; Streptophyta; Magnoliopsida; Poales; Poaceae. The record is from RNAcentral.